This 228-nucleotide ribosomal RNA is filed under the name uncultured bacterium. Its description in RNAcentral is "partial 16S ribosomal RNA". It matches the Rfam family "Bacterial small subunit ribosomal RNA", at positions 524 to 751 of the family's 1533-position model. The record is from RNAcentral.
UACGAAGGGGGCUAGCGUUGUUCGGAAUUACUGGGCGUAAAGCGCACGUAGGCGGAUAUUUAAGUCAGGGGUGAAAUCCCAGAGCUCAACUCUGGGACUGCCUUUGAUACUGGGUAUCUUGAGUAUGGAAGAGGUAAGUGGAAUUGCGAGUGUAGAGGUGAAAUUCGUAGAUAUUCGCAGGAACACCAGUGGCGAAGGCGGCUUACUGGUCCAUAACUGACGCUGAGG